Molecule: long non-coding RNA, 723 nt
Filed under: Rattus norvegicus (Norway rat)
Lineage: Eukaryota; Metazoa; Chordata; Mammalia; Rodentia; Muridae
Description: long non-coding RNA NONRATT014360
Source: RNAcentral
UUGUCCAUACCAGCUAUUAACCAUGUUUAUUACAGUGGGCAUCACCACCCUCUGGGAGCAACACCUUGGAAACUCAAGCAGGAGCCACUGAAGGUCACACGACCUCAUCUGUCACUGGAAUUGGGUUAACCUGGGGUCCUCCUGCCGAGGCUGCCUCCUCUUCGGCCUCACUUGGCUUCUUGCGGACCUCCGCUGGUGGCCGGGGUGGGGGGUUGGUAGGUGGCUGCUUGAUGGUGCCUCCAACCUGCGGCCGCUCCUUGGGUUUAGGCUCAAUGGGAGUCCACUGCUCACCCCGGAUGGCUGCCUGGGUCAGAGAAGGACUAUGUGGGGAUGCCAAGUGUACCUGGGUCUUAGUCCCAUGAUGGGUGUGGCUUCUAUUAACUGACUGGCCCAAGGCCACAUAAUCAGGAUCUGAGGCUACCUGACACCAAACCCAUGCCAGGAGGGCCCUGCAGUUGAGGAAGCAGAGAGGCCCUGGGCUUUGUAACAUUUCCAGAAGCACUUCCAGGCACGGAUUCCAUGACCCACAGAGCUUCUGCAUUCCCUCUAAAGGCUACCCACCUACGUUACAGCCUCGGUAAGGAGGCUGUCAAGGGCAAGCAUCCAGGGCAAGCAAAGAACUUUCUGGAAAUAGUGCUGUUAUCCCUCCUACCCCCCACAUUCCAUGGUGACCGGUUCUCUGAAUCUGGGGGUGUCCGUUUAAAUUUAGUAUCUCACCCAGCA